RNAcentral lists this ribosomal RNA (354 nucleotides) under uncultured bacterium. Its description in RNAcentral is "partial 16S ribosomal RNA". It matches the Rfam family "Bacterial small subunit ribosomal RNA", at positions 338 to 684 of the family's 1533-position model. The record is from RNAcentral.
CCUACGGGAGGCAGCAGUGGGGAAUAUUGCGCAAUGGGCGAAAGCCUGACGCAGCGACGCCGCGUGAGGGAUGAAGGUCUUCGGAUCGUAAACCUCUGUCAGCAGGGAAGCACGGUCACUGUGCUAAUCAGCAGUGAAUUGACGGUACCUGCAAAGGAAGCACCGGCUAACUCCGUUCCAGCAGCCGCGGUAAUACGGAGGGUGCGUGCGUUAAUCGGACUUACUGGGCGUAAAGGGCUCGUCGGCGGUAUGUCAAGUCAAGGGUGAAAUCCCCGCGCUCAACGGGGGAACUGCCUUUGAAACUGGCAAACUGGAGUGUGGGAGAGGAUAGUGGAAUUCCAGGUGUAGGAGUGA